UACAGAGGUCUCAAGCGUUGUUCGGAUUCAUUGGGCGUAAAGGGUGCGUAGGUGGCGGGGUAAGUCAGGUGUGAAAUCUCGGGGCUCAACCCCGAAACUGCACUUGAUACUGCCGUGCUUGAGGACUGGAGAGGAGACUGGAAUUUACGGUGUAGCGGUGAAAUGCGUAGAUAUCGUAAGGAAGACCAGUGGCGAAGGCGGGUCUCUGGACAGUUCCUGACGCUGAGGCACGAAGGCCAGGGGAGCAAACGGG
This 253-nucleotide ribosomal RNA is filed under the name uncultured bacterium. Its description in RNAcentral is "partial 16S ribosomal RNA". It matches the Rfam family "Bacterial small subunit ribosomal RNA", at positions 524 to 776 of the family's 1533-position model. The record is from RNAcentral.